RNA transcript from Rosa chinensis, 918 nucleotides. RefSeq lists it as uncharacterized. The record is from RefSeq and is a predicted model, not a curated record. The transcript is spliced from 3 exons. Lineage: Eukaryota; Viridiplantae; Streptophyta; Magnoliopsida; Rosales; Rosaceae.
UUAGAGAGAUGCAGUUGAAAGCGUUUGAAACAGCUGGCAGAUUUAAUAGAGAGCUGCAUUUUUGUUUUGCCCACCAGGUGUUUGUGAAAAUGCCUCAGAGAAGCUGCUAGACUUUAGCCUUUGUGAACCAUAUGUUUAUGUUUAUCAUUCUCUCAGACUCUCAGUGUUACUGCUGCUGCUAGAAUAACGUCAUAAAAUGCACUCUGUGUCUGCUUCAAAUCAUUUUGCUUGAUAUUCUUUCCUCGUGAUUUCAGGUUCAUGCCAUAUUGAAGUAGUAUCCCACCUUAAGAAUGGUAGUUGGGAAUGCAGCCUUUGAAUCGCUGGAUAGGAUGAAAGAAGAGAGCAAGAAAGCACAAGUGAGGUCUGAUCCUACAGAAAAGAUGGUGUAGAGGGUCUGAAACCAAAUGCAAGAGGGCCUGGUCUUGUCACUUUUGGGGUGCUCUACUGGACUUGAAAGAAUGUAUAAUUCACGGAAUAGAAACUAUGGUGGCAAGGUAUGCAAUUUUUCCAGCAAAUGUCUAUAUUUUUUUUGUUUCAAUUUUUGUUUUUGCAUUUUUGUUACAUCGGAGACUAUGUGCUUUACAAUUUAUAUUUUUUUCUAUCUACAUAAUUUUUUUGUUCUUCUUUUUUCAUAUGUGGUGGCAAGGUAUGGAAUACUUCCCCAGAUGAGCAAAACCGCCUCAAAAUUCAAGUCUUCAACAACCCAUGUACUCCAUUUUCAAAAAGCAAGCUUCUUUACUGCAACAGUUGCAGAUCGUGAAGAAGAAUCACAAAACCCAAAGAGACCCAAGUAGAUGAUACAUUUUCAUGCAUCAUAUUUGUGCCAUGUUUUGGAAAACAUAAAUACACACUUUUGAUGUCCCAAGUAGAUGGGCAUGUACUAGAAUGCUUUUAUAGUUUAAAUGUUGGCUUGGAUGA